Molecule: ribosomal RNA, 399 nt
Filed under: uncultured bacterium
Lineage: Bacteria
Description: bacterial SSU rRNA
Rfam family: Bacterial small subunit ribosomal RNA
Source: RNAcentral
GGAUAUUGGUCAAUGGGGGAAACCCUGAACCAGCAACGCCGCGUGAGGGAAGACGGUUUUCGGAUUGUAAACCUCUGUCCUCUGUGAAGAUAAUGACGGUACCUGAGUAAGAAGCACCGGCUAAAUACGUGCCAGCAGCCGCGGUAAUACGUAUGGUGCAAGCGUUAUCCGGAUUUACUGGGUGUAAAGGGAGCGCAGGCGGCACGGCAAGCCUGAUGUGAAAGCCCGCGGCCCAACCGCGGGACUGCAUUGGGAACUACCGGGCUGGAGUGCCGGAGAGGUAGGCGGAAUUCCUAGUGUAGCGGUGAAAUGCGUAGAUAUUAGGAGGAACACCAGUGGCGAAGGCGGCCUACUGGACGGUGACUGACGCUGAGGCUCGAAAGCGUGGGGAGCAAACAG